This 478-nucleotide ribosomal RNA is filed under the name uncultured bacterium. RNAcentral's name for it is "partial 16S ribosomal RNA". It matches the Rfam family "Bacterial small subunit ribosomal RNA", at positions 28 to 523 of the family's 1533-position model. The record is from RNAcentral.
GACGAACGCUGGCGGCGUGCUUAACACAUGCAAGUCGAACGGUAAGGCCCUUCGGGGUACACGAGUGGCGAACGGAUGAGUAACACGUGGGUGAUCUGCCCUGCACUUCGGGAUAGGCCUGGGAAACUGGGUCUAAUACCGGAUAGGACCACUGCCUGCAUGGGUGGUGGUGGAAAGCUUUUGCGGUGUGGGAUGGGCCCACGGCCUAUCAGCUUGUUGGUGGGGUGAUGGCCCACCAAGGCGACGACGGGUAGCCGGCCUGAGAGGGUGACCGGCCACACUGGGACUGAGAUACGGCCCAGACUCCUACGGGAGGCAGCAGUGGGGAAUAUUGCACAAUGGGCGCAAGCCUGAUGCAGCGACGCCGCGUGAGGGAUGACGGCCUUCGGGUUGUAAACCUCUUUCAGCACCGACGAAGCGCAAGUGACGGUAGGUGCAGAAGAAGGACCGGCCAACUACGUGCCAGCCGCCGCAGUAA